GCCAUUAGGGGGAUAGCUUCGGUAGCUAAGCUUAGUCUGGGUGCCGCUCCUUUACCGUCUCGCCGGCGCCACCGUCCUCUCCGUCGUCGAGCGCGUGGAGACGCUGGAGCAGCGGCUGAGGGAGGAGGGGGUGGAGCUUGGGCUUGGCGACCGCUGCGCCGCCGGCGUCGAGUGCUCUCUCCUUCUCGCCGCGUAUGAGCAGCGCGAGAGGGCCCAUUUGUUCUGUUAAGCUCCAACCCUGCUGCUGCUCCACCUACUACCCCUCGUUCCCACGCGUAGCCUAGUCUAACAAAGCACGAGCCUUCUUCGAGUGUCAACGACAAACGGUGGACUGGUGGUAAAACUACUACCCAAAUCGACGGACCGGUUAUAAUAGAGGUAUCACCAACCGAAUGAAGUAGAUACAUCACUAAUAUAAUUCGUGAGUCGACCCUUAUAGAACUACCGGUAGAGAUUAAGGGAUUACUUCAAACUUCGGCAAACCUAAGUCAAACAACUCGACCAGACCCGUCGAUAUGUGUGCCAUAGUUGUACGCGAGUAUUAGUAAGAUGUUAAUUACGGUGGUUUCCAAGACAACCAACAAGGAGACGACGCCUUUCGUAUUCAGUUCUGUGAUGCUGACUUUCGUGGUCAUAAUGUUCGAAAUAUCGUCAUGAGUUUGAUGCUAUACAGUUAUGGUUAUCCGUCUAUUACUGAACGGAGAAAGCUCAUGAUGUGUAAUAAGACUUCGAAGACUUUGAGUUACUGAGACUUGACUUUCUACUGAAGUAAACGGACAGGUAAGUAGUAUAAGUCUUCAAUGUAACCCUAGGACCAAUGGCUGAGUUACGGCCCUUUCAACAUUCGUAACAGUGUCUACUGGCUGCAUCAAACUGAUUUCUAAGACGUGUCAAACCUUAACACAGUCCGUCAGAGGAGGUCGAGAACACGAGAAAUCAACUCGUUUCACUGUGUCUUCUGUGUCUGGAUGCUCUAUAUAAACACCUUGAACGUCUACAGUAAGGAUCUAAUCGUUGAAAGAAUGUUCUCGUUGUCCUAUAGGGUUUUUCAGAGAGAGUCAUAAGUUUCGUGUUUUAUAACUACAAUUACUAUUCCGAAUUCGGAGUGUAUGUCGUCUUGACGAGUGUACAACAAACAAACGACUUUAAUGAAGCUGCGGUGAAAGUCUCAGGUGAGGUACUUGGAUACAAGGUUGUAUCGUGAUUUGACCUCUUGACAAAUCUUCCUAGGGGUAAAAACAAUUCACCACAUCCAAACCCGCUCGAAGUCCUAUUUAGAUGAGCCGUGAAUGUUUCCGUCCGAUACAUAAACAAAGAAUCAACAAGCUAUCAGAACCGAACGUCACCUUUACUAUCAUCUGACUUUACAAGUACAUUCUCUCUAGUUACAACAGUGUUCCCCCUUCCGACGUGACUAUUAACGUUGAUAAAACCGAAUAGUCUUUAGAGUCAAACCAAAGUCUCUACAACGAAUCUGUUCUAAAACCUGAGUUUUAGUAGUUGUCUGUAACAAAAUACGAAAGACGUCAAUAUAUACCUCCUCCUGCUAUACAAUAAGUAGUAAGAGAACGUCGAAAACCUACGAGGUGAAUAAAGCAACCGUUAUCUAUUCUACCUUUGAUUUACCUGCAGACUUGAAUAACCACGGUUUGACAAGAGGCAUCAAAAACUGGGUCAAGUAUAAAAAGUAGUUACCGAAAGUAACAACGUGAUACUAGUGAACCAUGAACAACUAAUAGAGUAUAGAUUUCUACAUCCACACGUAACACGGGUCAUAGAUAAUGCCACGAAUGCUGACCAUAGGCCCACAACCCUACGAAAACAGCUACUAAGUCAAAUGCUCCGUGUUUAUGUUUUUAAGUUGACAUUUUCCGUUUCUUGGAACUUUUUAUAUUUAUCAAAUUGACCGUCGAGUUACCUUCCGUGAUUCAACCCAAGGAGAGUACUGUUCCUUUUAUUCUCGUUUCUUGUCGAAAAGGACUCACGAUUUCACACAGAGGAAAGCAAUUUCGCUUGAAACCUCCUAGAAGUAUUCUUUCUAAAUAAGGGAAUGUUAGGUUUCGGAGACGAAUUUUCGAACAGGUCUAAACUCCUCGAGACACACGUCAUGACUUUGUUAAUUCAACGUGGGCCACUGUGCGAUGGUAAAGACACCAACUUAUAAACGGAGAGACGCCACGCCGGACCAGAGGCAACGGUGGGAGUAACGGACCAGUGAGACCGUUAUGGCGUUACGACGUCAGAAGCUGUUCUAGUACGGGAGAUGGAGCCUGGAACAAGCGCGCUAGUACCUCCUUCGAGCGAGGACCCGUCGACGGCCUCGGUGUCCUCAAUUACGUAAUUAGGGACAUUGAACUUGACUACAAAAACCCCGACUCGUAGGGGAGACAGGAGACGAGUGGAUCGCAGGGCCGGUGCGGUCGAACACAUGCACCGAUCCAGCGAAGAGACAUGAAAGAGGGGAGAUAGUUACGUUUCUAUGCGAGGUUUCGCAUAAGGACUUUUU
This 2506-nucleotide ribosomal RNA is filed under the name Triticum aestivum (bread wheat). RNAcentral's name for it is "partial small subunit ribosomal RNA". The record is from RNAcentral. Lineage: Eukaryota; Viridiplantae; Streptophyta; Magnoliopsida; Poales; Poaceae.